UACAGAGGUCUCAAGCGUUGUUCGGAUUCAUUGGGCGUAAAGGGUGUGUAGGUGGCGCCGUAAGUCGGGUGUGAAAUUUCGAGGUUUAACCUCGAAACUGCAUUCGAUACUGCGGUGCUUGAGGACUGGAGAGGAGACUGGAAUUCAUGGUGUAGCAGUGAAAUGCGUAGAUAUCAUGAGGAAGACCAGUGGCGAAGGCGGGUCUCUGGACAGUUCCUGACACUGAGACACGAAGGCCAGGGGAGCAAACGGG
RNAcentral lists this ribosomal RNA (253 nucleotides) under uncultured bacterium. RNAcentral's name for it is "partial 16S ribosomal RNA". It matches the Rfam family "Bacterial small subunit ribosomal RNA", at positions 524 to 776 of the family's 1533-position model. The record is from RNAcentral.